GCUUCAUUCAAAAUAUGAUUGGCAGCACUGAAAAGUGUUUGACUUGUGUAGCCUUUUCCUUCAUAAAUUACAUCAUUGUUGAUUAUAUAAAAAAUAAAUAAUGAAAAACAUUUGAGGAAUUUUUCUUCUAAUUUAUGGAGCAAAACCAGAUAUUUUUCCCAAAAGAAAUUGUGUGAUAAUAAAUAAUAGAUAGUACUUGCUAUUUAUAGAAAAUUUGUAAUCUUUAAUAAAAUCUUUGCUUUUAAUCUUUUGUUUAAGUGGCCAUUUAAGAUGUGAGAACUACUGAGCAGAACAAAAAGAAUCUGAAUUCUGAAUCUUAUGUAUGAUGUUGCAUUGCUUAUUGAAACUCCAGGAAAAUAAAAUUCAUGGAAGCAAAUUCAACUAGUUGUCUUUGUCUAAUUACUCUUACCUUAACUUGACUUUUUUUUCUUGAAACUGGCGUCUCUUCAACACAACAGCACAUCAUGACUCUUAAUUCCUGGUUUUAAAUUGUUGUCUUUGGGAAAUCACAUCUUUAUUUGUUGGUCAAUCUUCAAUUGCUGAUUAAAUUUCUGAACAUAUUAAGAGACCUAAGCUUGAGGCAGGUAUCUGUUAUGACCCAGAAGAUUUCUGAAUCCACUAUGAUCAGACAUAUUCUGUCCUUUGUAGUUGCUGAAAUCUUAUCCAUGAUUCAAAUUUAUGCGAGAUUGAUUCGAACGAGAUGAUGGACUUGAUCUCCAAUCAAAAGAUUUAGAUCUACAUGACCUGAAGCUGAUCUUCUGAGGCAUCUCUGAAAUCUGAAGCGGUUGACUUUGUCCAUAGAUGUCCCAAUUCUUUGCAGAUAAAAAUGGAAAAUAUCCAUCCCUGAACUCCAGGAUUAUCAGCUGGAGUCAUAGCAAGAGUUGCUGGGGUGCUGUUAUUGGCAGUUUGCAUAUAUGUUGGAGUUUACAAGAAGAAGAAAGUGCAGGACAAAAUAUUGCUUUCUGCAAGAUCUGAACAUCAAUCAAUUCAAGCUGCAAGGGGUAGGACCUGCUCCUGCUCUAAUUAAGGCUGAGGUGCCAUGGUCAGCUCGAAGGGGAACCUUCUCUAAUAAGGAUCGUGUUUUGAAGACAGUGAAAGGGUAAUUUAUUCUGAAGAUAUUUGUAUGAUUUCCUGA
Non-coding RNA from Camellia sinensis, 1135 nucleotides. The record is from RefSeq and is a predicted model, not a curated record. Lineage: Eukaryota; Viridiplantae; Streptophyta; Magnoliopsida; Ericales; Theaceae.